AUUGAACGCUGGCGGCAGGCCUAACACAUGCAAGUCGAACGAGUGGCGGACGGGUGAGUAAUGUCUGGGAAACUGCCUGAUGGAGGGGGAUAACUACUGGAAACGGUAGCUAAUACCGCAUACCAUCAGAUGUGCCCAGGUGGGAUUAGCUAGUUGGUGUGGUCACGGCUCACCAAGGCGACGAUCCCUAGCUGGUCUAAGAGGAGGACCAUCCACACUGUAACUGAGACACGGUCCGAACUCCUACGUGAGGCAGCAGUGGGGAAUAUUGCACAAUGGGCGCAAGCCUGAUUCAGCCAUGCCGCGGGUAUGAAGAAGGCCUUCGGGUUGUAAAGUACUUUCAGCGGGGAGGCGUUACCCGCAGAAGAAGCACCGGCUAACUCCGUGCCAGCAGCCGCGGUAAUAC
Molecule: ribosomal RNA, 406 nt
Filed under: uncultured bacterium
Lineage: Bacteria
Description: partial 16S ribosomal RNA
Rfam family: Bacterial small subunit ribosomal RNA
Source: RNAcentral